RNAcentral lists this ribosomal RNA (528 nucleotides) under uncultured Actinomycetes bacterium. RNAcentral describes it as "bacterial SSU rRNA". It matches the Rfam family "Bacterial small subunit ribosomal RNA", at positions 8 to 522 of the family's 1533-position model. Lineage: Bacteria; Bacillati; Actinomycetota; Actinomycetes. The record is from RNAcentral.
AGAGUUUGAUCAUGGCUCAGGACGAACGCUGGCGGCGUGCCUAACACAUGCAAGUUGAGCGACGAACCAGGGCUUGCCCUGGGGCAAAGCAGCGAACGGGUGAGUAACACGUGGGUAACCUGCCCCGAUGACCGGGACAACCCGAGGAAACUCGGGCCAAUACCGGAUGUGCUCCACAGACAUCAGUGUGUGGAGUAAAGGAAGCUUCGGCCUCCGCUUCGGGAGGGGCCCGCGGCCCAUUAGCUAGUUGGUGAGGUAACGGCUCACCAAGGCAACGAUGGGUAGCUGGUCUGAGAGGACGAUCAGCCACACUGGGACUGAGACACGGCCCAGACUCCUACGGGAGGCAGCAGUGGGGAAUCUUGCGCAAUGCGCGAAAGCGUGACGCAGCAACGCCGCGUGGGGGAAGAAGGCCUUCGGGUUGUAAACCCCUUUCAGGAGGGACGAAGGUGCGGCGGCGAAUAGCCGUCCGUAUUGACGGUACCUCCAGAAGAAGCCCCGGCUAACUACGUGCCAGCAGCCGCGGUA